Molecule: long non-coding RNA, 715 nt
Organism: Eriocheir sinensis (Chinese mitten crab)
Lineage: Eukaryota; Metazoa; Arthropoda; Malacostraca; Decapoda; Varunidae
Exons: 6
Source: RefSeq, a predicted model, not a curated record
AUGUUAUUCCCUAUGGUGACGUCACUUACCUUCCUUCCUCCCUCCGCUGUGAAACCGUCAGUCUUCACGCCAUUAAGAGCCCUGUCUGUUUUAUGUGAUUUCGUGGGAUUUAGCCGCUGUAAAGACACGCCAUGCAGAUCAGAGAGAAGUACACCCGAUGGCAGGCCGGACCCUAUCUCUCCUUCGGGGGCCAAGUUGUGAUUUGCUUGGCAGGAGCCGAGGUGCGGAACACUGGAGGCUGAGUGUGACGCUCCUUGUUGGCCGCUAUGAUGAUGAUGUGGUUUGGCUACUACCAGCUGAGAGGCCACAGCAUGCUUUCCUGAAGACCGGCCAGCAACCCGGACUCUAGAGCAGUGGUUUGCAUUGGUUGGUGUAGCAGUGCCGGGAGGUGACAUAACACUCCCCUCAACAACAGUCUCUUCACCGACAAGUAAUUCUUCACCAACAAGCUUUUCAGCAGCUUGGAGAAAUAGAGACAAGAGGAGAAGAAGAAGAAGAGGAAGAGGAGGAUGACUUUGAAGACCAGCAGACAGACAGAAAGACAUUGAAUUGAAUGGCUGGCGUCUCGGUCUGCCUGCCUGCGGGACACCGCACACUCUGGAACAAGAAAGAACACCAAGAUGUCAAGUUCCUGCAGAAUCAGCCUCUUAGUGAAGGAAAUGUGCUCUAUUUAUUUAAUAAAUGAUUGACAAAAAAAUAAUUUUGUAUUUAUUUU